Long non-coding RNA from Mycetomoellerius zeteki, 73 nucleotides. RefSeq lists it as uncharacterized. The record is from RefSeq and is a predicted model, not a curated record. The transcript has 3 exons. Lineage: Eukaryota; Metazoa; Arthropoda; Insecta; Hymenoptera; Formicidae.
UAGAAGCAACACUCCUGCGACAUUAUCAUACGACAUGCGACACAGUCUGUGCGACUAUUAUAAACGAGAUCUU